GUUUGGCCUUAGUUUCAUUUUUAAUUUGAAGAAAAGUUUGAAAUUGCUUUAUCUUGCACUUAACAUUUGCACCAAAUUGCCAAAAGAAGGAGAAAUGCUCCGUUUGCUUUUUAAAUGUUAAUGAUGAUGUUAAUAAAGCCUUUCCUGACACAUUUGAGGAGCUCCUCCGUCUCCAGGGGCUUCUUACCAGAGUUAUGCAGUGAUGGGUUUAGUUCUGAAUGGAUGAAGAGUUCCUGAGAGCUAGCGUUUGUAAUUAGAACCGUUACUUGGUAUCUGUGCCUUAUUUGACCUUUGGUUCCACAUGCCUUGGAUGUGCAUGCACCGUGACGGUUUCAUAGGUACGAACGCACACUCAGGCCCAGUCACUUCGGUUGGUAGUACAGAUUGUGAGGAAAAAGAUGGAGGCAUCCUUAAGGAGGAAAAAUGUUUGCCUUUAGUUCCUGCAUUAUCCUGUACAGAGGGGCUCCUGAGUUUUGGAAGCCUGUUCCCAGUACAGGAGAACAACUCCCCUGUUUGCAGCAGGAGACUUCAGUGCACGGUGACAACGCUGGAGUUCAAGAGGAAGCCAGCAAUGCUGCACCAUUGGCUUCAGACACCAUUGUUGUUGUUUGCCAGUUUUAAACUUAACUAGUUGCAGACGAAGACCACCUUGAAAUGCAGGCUUGUUGGGCUUGUUUUGAAUUUUAACCUCGGAUGGAAGAGCCCUAGUGCUGUCUGUCUCCAUGCGGGAUGAUGAUUGCUAGGCAACAGGUGAUUAUCAACAAAGGAUGCCACGGUUAUACUCUGCAAGGUGGUGUUCCAGUGGCAAACAGCUGUAUAAACUCUUGUAAACAGGAACUACUGACAAAAACCUAUAGUCGACUUUGGGAUCUGACUUUAUUAUUCAGCAACUCAAAGAUGAGUUCUAAUUGGCAGACUUCUGGCACUGGCACUUGUCCUCCUGUUUCUAUAGAAACUGGGUUGGAAGUCAGAGCUGCACAAAGGGAAAGGCCUUCCAAGGCUUCCAUCUUUGUGCCAGUGUGUGGCUCUGGGUGCCAUCUAACCGCAAAAGCAGCAGUUGGGUUUGGAUGAGCUGUGUGACAUUUGGCCUACACGAAGGAGAGAAAUAUUGUUCAUGUAAUGUGUUACCUUUUUUUGUCUGUGUGAUCUACAAGAGCAUGGCUGAAAUGUUACCAUUUUUAACUAGUGUUUUGACUGAAGAUUAUUAUGAAAAGUUUUACUUUUGUUAGAUUCCUAAUUAAAAAUGCCUAUACUCUUUUAUAGGAGUUUCAACUUUUGCAAUUUGGUAAUAACAGAUUUAGGUAAGUAAAAAAUGAGAAUCUCAUACAGUUCUGAAGAUCUAAGUUUGGUUGAGAAUUUAAUGUUUCAUCACCAGUAAAUUCAAUUAAAGACUUUUGAUUCAAUUAAAGACUCAGUUCUGCCUACACCUGCAAGAACUGAGUUGAUCUGUACAUCAACAUUUCUGAUGUUUCUUUGGUAGUUGCUGCUGGAGUCAGAAGUUAGGAACAAAUCUAAUGGCCUUUGUAAUGUCCUCUGUCAUUUCACGGAGGAAUGACUUAGAGGAACAAAGCUUUCCUGUGAUUUCUUUCUUCAACAGAUGGCUAAUGGCACAGCAUUGCAGUUAGAAUCUUGUUUAAGAUACUAGGAGCACGUCCUGGACUAAAAAUUUCUACAUAAGCUUUAGCAACAACCUUAUAGCUUCCUUUGACUUUUUUGUAGAGCUUACAGAAUGUAUGGCUGCCUAAGUAAUAGUCUCUGAAUUAAUGGGUAAAAAAUAUAUUAUGAGUUUUUUAUCCUCACGUAUGGUGCUAGGCUAUACUGGAUUUGGGCUAACAAAAGCUUGUUAACUUUUUUUUGUCUCAUUGACAGAAGUAUUUUAUAUCUCAUAUUUUACAUUACAUAGGUGUGUGUGUGUGUAUGAAAUAAAAGUUUGAAAAUAAAGUGAUAUACUCUUUUUUAAUCU
RNAcentral lists this long non-coding RNA (1963 nucleotides) under Homo sapiens (human). Its description in RNAcentral is "long non-coding RNA NONHSAT149544.1". The record is from RNAcentral. Lineage: Eukaryota; Metazoa; Chordata; Mammalia; Primates; Hominidae.